GUGGCUCAGUGGUAGAGUGCUUGCCUAGCAUGCAUGAGGCCCUGGGUUCAUUCCUCAGC
Molecule: transfer RNA, 59 nt
Filed under: Dipodomys ordii (Ord's kangaroo rat)
Lineage: Eukaryota; Metazoa; Chordata; Mammalia; Rodentia; Heteromyidae
Rfam family: tRNA
About the family: Transfer RNA (tRNA) molecules are approximately 80 nucleotides in length. Their secondary structure includes four short double-helical elements and three loops (D, anti-codon, and T loops). Further hydrogen bonds mediate the characteristic L-shaped molecular structure. tRNAs have two regions of fundamental functional importance: the anti-codon, which is responsible for specific mRNA codon recognition, and the 3' end, to which the tRNAs corresponding amino acid is attached (by aminoacyl-tRNA synthetases). tRNAs cope with the degeneracy of the genetic code in two manners: having more than one tRNA (with a specific anti-codon) for a particular amino acid; and 'wobble' base-pairing, i.e. permitting non-standard base-pairing at the 3rd anti-codon position.
Source: Rfam by way of RNAcentral